UUCGGGCUUUCUUUCAUCGAGACUCCUGUCAACUUUCUCCGGCCCAAUUAUCUAACAGAAGUUCAGCCCAAGUCCCCAGGUUUUUCCGCCGAAAGAGACACACUCUCCCUCUUCUCUUCCCACCAUUUCAAAAUCCCAUCCCCGAUCCUGCGGUCACGACUCACGACCAUCGGCUCCGAUUACCCUUGAAAUCGGCUUUCGUAAGCAUCGUUUUGUGAUUUCUUCAACUGAUUUGUCAAGCUUUAUAUCAAUAUUGAUUGUAAUGCUUCUUCCUCCAUUGGGGUUAGGGUUUAUUACCUUGUUUUUUAAUUGGAGAAUCGAUAUAGCUCUCAAAUAUGACCAGAGCCGAAAUCGAAAACGCAAGGGAGGACAUGGUUACCGAGUGUAAACCUGACAAUUUGAUAGUGUUUCCCGUGACGGUCAUUGCUUAACUUUGUCUCGCAUAAGAAUUGUUGUACUUAACCCAAUAAAAGUUUUAGUUUUAAGGUGCAAAAUGUGCUAAGUUCAACCUUAUAACUCUGAUCAAAGUUGCCAUAUUCCUCUUAGAAUGCAUACUGGCCAUAAAUUUCCAGCCCCCCUCCCCCCAACUCCGGUGGAGAAGCAGCUUGUUUCCUUAUAUUGUAAGGUACUGCUGCUCAAUAGCUGAUGUUUAAGUGGACUGCUAGCCAACAAUGACAGUUGCUAUCAAAGGAAUCGAUACUUCCCUCAGAAGUUGGGUUGAUAUUUGUUCUCUUCCUUGGAGAAAAGAGGGGGAGAAAGACUAAUUGGUAUCUGAUCUUGUAUGUUCAAUUGUCAGGUGGGUAUCAGAUCUUACACGGAUUGUAUUUUAGAGGAGCACAAUAGGAGCGGCUUCUUAGCUCUUUUUAAACAGUUAAAUCUUAGAGGGGUUAUAUUUAGA
Molecule: long non-coding RNA, 898 nt
Organism: Juglans regia (Persian walnut)
Lineage: Eukaryota; Viridiplantae; Streptophyta; Magnoliopsida; Fagales; Juglandaceae
Exons: 3
Source: RefSeq, a predicted model, not a curated record